CCUACGGGUGGCAGCAGUGGGGAAUAUUGGGCAAUGGGCGCAAGCCUGACCCAGCAACGCAGCGUGAAGGAAGAAGGCCCUCGGGUUGUAAACUUCUUUUGUCAGGGACGAAACCAAUGACGGUACCUGACGAAUAAGCCACGGCUAACUACGGGCCAGCAGCCGUGGUAAUACGUCGGUGGCAAGCGUUAUCCGGAUUCAUUGGGUUUAAAGGGUGCGCAGGCGGGCCUUUAAGCCGGCGGUGACAGCGAGGGGCUCAACCCCGCCGAGCCGUCGGAACUGGGGGCCUUGAGUGCGGCGGAGGCAUGCGGAAUGCGCGGUGUAGCGGUGAAAUGCAUAGAUAUCGCGCAGAACCCCGAUUGCGAAGGCAGCGUGCCGUGCCGCCACUGACGCUGAGGCACGAAGGCGCGGGGAUCGAACAGGAUUAGAUACCCGUGUAGUC
Molecule: ribosomal RNA, 442 nt
Filed under: uncultured bacterium
Lineage: Bacteria
Description: partial 16S ribosomal RNA
Rfam family: Bacterial small subunit ribosomal RNA
Source: RNAcentral